GCGGAGGAAAAGAAACUAACAAGGAUUCCCCUAGUAACGGCGAGUGAAGCGGGAAGAGCUCAAAUUUAAAAUCUGGCAGUCUACGAUUGUCCGAAUUGUAAUCUCGAGAAGUGUUUUCCGCGUUGGCCUGUGCACAAGUCCCUUGGAACAGGGCGUCAUAGAGGGUGAGAAUCCCGUCCUUGGCACAGAUACCCAAUGCUUUGUGAUACACUCUCAAUGAGUCGAGUUGUUUGGGAAUGCAGCUCAAAAUGGGAGGUAAAUUCCUUCUAAAGCUAAAUACUGGCGAGAGACCGAUAGCGAACAAGUACCGUGAGGGAAAGAUGAAAAGCACUUUGGAAAGAGAGUCAAACAGUACGUGAAAUUGUUGAAAGGGAAACGAUUGAAGUCAGUCGUGCCUGCCUAGAUUCAGCCUUCUGGUGUAUUUCUAGGUCGGCAGGUCAGCAUCAGUUUGGGAGGGUUAACAAGGGGAUUAGGAAUGUGGCAACCUCGGUUGUGUUAUAGCCUAGUUUCGUAUUGAUCUUGCUGGACUGAGGAACGCAGUGCGCCCGCAAGGGUAGGUCUUCGGACACUUUCGCACUUAGGAUGCUGGCAUAAUGGCUUUAAACGACCCGUCUUGACCA
RNAcentral lists this ribosomal RNA (620 nucleotides) under Cystofilobasidium capitatum. Its description in RNAcentral is "LSU rRNA". It matches the Rfam family "Eukaryotic large subunit ribosomal RNA", at positions 50 to 661 of the family's 3401-position model. The record is from RNAcentral. Lineage: Eukaryota; Fungi; Basidiomycota; Tremellomycetes; Cystofilobasidiales; Cystofilobasidiaceae.